This 445-nucleotide long non-coding RNA is filed under the name Pan troglodytes (chimpanzee). RNAcentral's name for it is "long non-coding RNA NONPTRT015845". Lineage: Eukaryota; Metazoa; Chordata; Mammalia; Primates; Hominidae. The record is from RNAcentral.
GGUUAAGACCUGAUGGUGGGUCACUGAGACACUGUGGAGGGAAAUGGAUAAGCCAGGAGUGUUGUGAAGAUGUAAUAAGGGCUGCACAUGUCAUAAUGGGAUCUAAACAAACAGGAGGUGUACAGGGCUUGUGGGGAGUUGGCUCCCCAGAAAUCUGGGAAGACUUCUAACUGGAAGACUGGAAGACUUCUAACUGGAGAUAAUGCAGUAGAGGAACUGAAGAUGCUUAUGAAGUCAUUAGUAUCAUGGACUGUAAAAAUCAAACACUGUGUAAUUCUCAGAAUACAACUAGACACUGCUCUCAUGGGAAGGAGAUUGAACUAUGUGUCUUGCGUCUUGGAAAAAAUGCAAAGCGACUCACUAACCAUGAAGAAAUAGCAAAUUAGGAAGACAGGAUGAUCAAUUUCCUUGUCUUAUUAAAAAAUAAAGUCUGCUUUCUUUUCUC